UUUAUGGAGAGUUUGAUCCUGGCUCAGGAUGAACGCUGGCGGCGUGCCUAAUACAUGCAAGUCGAGCGAACGGACGAGAAGCUUGCUUCUCUGAUGUUAGCGGCGGACGGGUGAGUAACACGUGGAUAACCUACCUAUAAGACUGGGAUAACUUCGGGAAACCGGAGCUAAUACCGGAUAAUAUUUUGAACCGCAUGGUUCAAAAGUGAAAGACGGUCUUGCUGUCACUUAUAGAUGGAUCCGCGCUGCAUUAGCUAGUUGGUAAGGUAACGGCUUACCAAGGCAACGAUGCAUAGCCGACCUGAGAGGGUGAUCGGCCACACUGGAACUGAGACACGGUCCAGACUCCUACGGGAGGCAGCAGUAGGGAAUCUUCCGCAAUGGGCGAAAGCCUGACGGAGCAACGCCGCGUGAGUGAUGAAGGUCUUCGGAUCGUAAAACUCUGUUAUUAGGGAAGAACAUAUGUGUAAGUAACUGUGCACAUCUUGACGGUACCUAAUCAGAAAGCCACGGCUAACUACGUGCCAGCAGCCGCGGUAAUACGUAGGUGGCAAGCGUUAUCCGGAAUUAUUGGGCGUAAAGCGCGCGUAGGCGGUUUUUUAAGUCUGAUGUGAAAGCCCACGGCUCAACCGUGGAGGGUCAUUGGAAACUGGAAAACUUGAGUGCAGAAGAGGAAAGUGGAAUUCCAUGUGUAGCGGUGAAAUGCGCAGAGAUAUGGAGGAACACCAGUGGCGAAGGCGACUUUCUGGUCUGUAACUGACGCUGAUGUGCGAAAGCGUGGGGAUCAAACAGGAUUAGAUACCCUGGUAGUCCACGCCGUAAACGAUGAGUGCUAAGUGUUAGGGGGUUUCCGCCCCUUAGUGCUGCAGCUAACGCAUUAAGCACUCCGCCUGGGGAGUACGACCGCAAGGUUGAAACUCAAAGGAAUUGACGGGGACCCGCACAAGCGGUGGAGCAUGUGGUUUAAUUCGAAGCAACGCGAAGAACCUUACCAAAUCUUGACAUCCUUUGACAACUCUAGAGAUAGAGCCUUCCCCUUCGGGGGACAAAGUGACAGGUGGUGCAUGGUUGUCGUCAGCUCGUGUCGUGAGAUGUUGGGUUAAGUCCCGCAACGAGCGCAACCCUUAAGCUUAGUUGC
RNAcentral lists this ribosomal RNA (1138 nucleotides) under Staphylococcus aureus. Its description in RNAcentral is "bacterial SSU rRNA". It matches the Rfam family "Bacterial small subunit ribosomal RNA", at positions 1 to 1118 of the family's 1533-position model. Lineage: Bacteria; Bacillati; Bacillota; Bacilli; Caryophanales; Staphylococcaceae. The record is from RNAcentral.